Molecule: ribosomal RNA, 622 nt
Filed under: uncultured Actinomycetes bacterium
Lineage: Bacteria; Bacillati; Actinomycetota; Actinomycetes
Description: bacterial SSU rRNA
Rfam family: Bacterial small subunit ribosomal RNA
Source: RNAcentral
CACGUGAAGAAUCUGCCCUCCACUUUGGGAUAACUCCGGGAAACCGGGGCUAAUACCGAAUAUUGAAACAUAAGCGGCAUCGCUGAGUUUUGAAAGAAUUUCGGUGGAGGAUGACUUCGCGGCCUAUCAGCUUGUUGGUGAGGUAAUGGCUCACCAAGGCAACGACGGGUAGCCGGCCUGAGAGGGCGACCGGCCACACUGGGACUGAGACACGGCCCAGACUCCUACGGGAGGCAGCAGUGGGGAAUAUUGGGCAAUGGACGCAAGUCUGACCCAGCGACGCCGCGUGCGGGAUGAAGGCCUUCGGGUUGUAAACCGCUUUCAGCAGGGAAGAAGCGAAAGUGACGGUACCUGCAAAAGAAGCACCGGCUAACUAUGUGCCAGCAGCCGCGGUAAUACAUAGGGUGCAAGCGUUGUCCGGAAUUAUUGGGCGUAAAGAGCUCGUAGGUGGUUCGUCACGUCGGAUGUGAAAAUCUGGGGCUCAACCCCAGACCUGCAUUCGAUACGAGCGAGCUAGAGUUUGGUAGGGGAGACUGGAAUUCCUGGUGUAGCGGUGGAAUGCGCAGAUAUCAGGAGGAACACCAAUGGCGAAGGCAGGUCUCUGGGCCAAUACUGACACUGA